CGUGUGAAAUCCUCAAAAGAACUGACAUGCCUACACGCGAGGCCCGUCCGCUCUCUCCCUUUCUAUCUCCCUGAUUCAGUUGUUCUUCGUGCAACCGAUGCGAUGCCGCGGUCAGGCGGCGCCGGUCGCGGCAACGGCGACGCCGAGGUACCGGCAGUGAAGGAGCCCAAACGGUGCUCCCUCCAAGAUUUCGUAUCGACUAUCAAACUAUAAUCCCCGAAAAUCCUAGGCACUUGUGAUUCACCGACUUCUACCUCUACCGGCAGGCGGUAGCACCCACCACGACUAGCCAGCUCGCCCGACGGCGACGCCGCCACUUGGCAUCCCCAUGCGGCCCGACGCCCUUCCACACCCCAUCCAUGUCACCGGUUCCUCCCCUGCAGGUACAACUCUCGUAUUUGGCAGAGACUAAAGAUAAGGUAAGCAAAAAUUCAAUUGCCAGACGAUCGUAUUUGUCAUAGUACCUACUCUGAAUAUUUCAGUCGUUGAAUUCUGAUCUAUUCCAAGCCGUCUUCCCAUUCUUGGAAAAAGUUACCUGUAAAGAUUCAUACUUUUGCCUGUAUGGUCUGGUUGUAUUUAUUUAGUACCCAGCAAUGGGCAUUGAUUUGCUUACCACAUUUGAAUCAAUUAUCUCUUUCUUUAAAUUCAGUUUACUGAUAAAGUUCGCCCCUGAAGAAAAUGGGUUAUGCAGAGAUAAGUGGCCUUGAGGUAACACAUCUUCGUGUAGUUGUUUCCACACACUUCCUUCAUUUUCUAUCUGAUCAAAUGAUGGAUCUACUGUUGUCCAUUUGUAUAGAUCCUGUAAAUUAAGAAGAAAGGAUAUAUUAAAUGUCUGGUGCUUCCAGGGUAUGUUAGUUUGUGGCUUUUUACCAAUCUAGAUUUUUUUGUAGCAAAUCAGAAAUUAAUAGGAUGGUUAUAUAUCAACGUUAUACUCUUGCAUUUCUGUACUGCACACCUCAUGUUUAGGAUAUACACCCAAUAAAAAUUGGAACGAUACAACUAAUUCACAAAAUUAGUUUCUUUGUGUCAAGCAUGCUGCAAUUUUAUUUUAGAAUUUUUAGGUUCGGAAAUGGAGAUAUCUACUCUGAUCUUAUACCUGAAGCUUUGAACAUAUACAUUGUGCACUAUCUACAUUGAGAUACUGUAUUAAAUUUCCCAAGAUUCCUCGAAGAGUUGUACUGUCUAAUUAUUUCAAAUAUUUCCUCUUUGAUUACUGAUGACUAUAUGAGCAAGUUGAUACAAACUUAAAUUUCCA
Long non-coding RNA from Aegilops tauschii subsp. strangulata, 1255 nucleotides. RefSeq lists it as uncharacterized. NCBI's taxonomy places the organism in Eukaryota, Viridiplantae, Streptophyta, Magnoliopsida, Poales, Poaceae. The record is from RefSeq and is a predicted model, not a curated record.